AACGCCGGCGGCGUGCUUAACACAUGCAAGUCGAACGAACCUUCGGGUUAGUGGCGGACGGGUGAGUAACGCGUGAGAAUCUGCCCUCAGGAGGGGGACAACAGCUGGAAACGGCUGCUAAUACCCCAUAUGCCGCGAGGUGAAAUGAAUUUCGCCUGAGGAUGAGCUCGCGUCUGAUUAGCUAGUUGGUGUAGGUAAUGGCUCACCAAGGCAUCGAUCAGUAGCUGGUCUGAGAGGAUGAUCAGCCACACUGGGGCUGAGACACGGCCCAGACUCCUACGGGAGGCAGCAGUGGGGAAUUUUCCGCAAUGGGCGAAAGCCUGACGGAGCAACGCCGCGUGAGGGAUGAAGGCCUCUGGGCUGUAAACCUCUUUUAUCAAGGAAGAAGAUCUGACGGUACUUGAUGAAUAAGCCACGGCUAAUUCCGUGCCAGCAGCCGCGGUAAUACGGGAGUGGCAAGCGUUAUCCGGAAUUAUUGGGCGUAAAGCGUCCGCAGGCGGCCCUUCAAGUCUGCUGUUAAAAAGUGGAGCUUAACUCCAUCAUGGCAGUGGAAACUGUUGGGCUUGAGUGUGGUAGGGGCAGAGGGAAUUCCCGGUGUAGCGGUGAAAUGCGUAGAUAUCGGGAAGAACACCAGUGGCGAAGGCGCUCUGCUGGGCCAUCACUGACGCUCAUGGACGAAAGCCAGGGGAGCGAAAGGGAUUAGAUACCCCUGUAGUCCUGGCCGUAAACGAUGAACACUAGGUGUCGGGGGAAUCGACCCCCUCGGUGUCGUAGCCAACGCGUUAAGUGUUCCGCCUGGGGAGUACGCACGCAAGUGUGAAACUCAAAGGAAUUGACGGGGGCCCGCACAAGCGGUGGAGCAUGUGGUUUAAUUCGAUGCAACGCGAAGAACCUUACCAGGGUUUGACAUGAUAUGAAUUUCUUUGAAAAAAGAAAGUGCCUUUUGGAACAUAUACACAGGUGGUGCAUGGCUGUCGUCAGCUCGUGUCGUGAGAUGUUGGGUUAAGUCCCGCAACGAGCGCAACCCUUAUUUUUAGUUGCCUUAUGGAACUCUAGAAAGACUGCCGGUUAUAAACCGGAGGAAGGCGGGGAUGACGUCAAGUCAGCAUGCCCCUUACACCCUGGGCUACACACGUGCUACAAUGGGUAAGACAAUGAGAUGCAACUCUGCGAAGAUAAGCUAAUCUAUAAACUUACUCUAAGUUCGGAUUGUAGGCUGCAACUCGCCUGCAUGAAGUUGGAAUCGCUAGUAAUCGCUGGUCAGCUACACAGCGGUGAAUUCGUUCCCGGGCCUUGUACACACCGCCCGUCACACCAUGGAAGCUGGUUAUACCCAAAGUCGUUACUCUAACCUUUUUGGAGGAGGAUGCCUAAGGUAGAAUUAGUGACUGGGGUGAAGUCGUAACA
Molecule: ribosomal RNA, 1407 nt
Filed under: uncultured bacterium
Lineage: Bacteria
Description: partial 16S ribosomal RNA
Rfam family: Bacterial small subunit ribosomal RNA
Source: RNAcentral